AAGAAUGGAAAAAGCAAGCAAAAGCUUAAAAUGUUGGAGCGCGUGUUUUUUGUUUUGGGGUAGGGAUGCGUUUUUUUCUUUUUUCUUUUCUUUUUUAUAAUUUUUUUGUUGAGCAAAGCUACAAUGAAGA
This 130-nucleotide non-coding RNA is filed under the name Mucochytrium quahogii. Lineage: Eukaryota; Bigyra; Thraustochytrida; Thraustochytriidae. The record is from RNAcentral.